CCUACGGGGGGCAGCAGUGGGGAAUAUUGCGCAAUGGGCGAAAGCCUGACGCAGCGACGCCGCGUGAGGGAUGAAGGUCUUCGGAUCGUAAACCUCUGUCAGCAGGGAAGAACGGUCACUGUGCUAAUCAGCAGUGAAUUGACGGUACCUGCAAAGGAAGCACCGGCUAACUCCGUGCCAGCAGCCGCGGUAAUACGGAGGGUGCGAGCGUUAAUCGGAAUUACUGGGCGUAAAGCGCUCGUAGGCGGUAUGUCAAGUCAAGGGUGAAAUCCCCGGGCUCAACGUGGGAACUGCCUUUGAAACUGGCAAACUGGAGUGUGUGAGAGGAUAGUGGAAUUCCAGGUGUAGGGGUGAAAUGCGUAGAUAUCAGGAGGAACAUCAGUGGCGAAGGCGACUAUCUGGCACAUAACUGACGCUGAGGAGCGAAAGCGUGGGUAGCAAACAGGAUUAGAUACCCGAGUAGUC
This 465-nucleotide ribosomal RNA is filed under the name uncultured bacterium. Its description in RNAcentral is "partial 16S ribosomal RNA". It matches the Rfam family "Bacterial small subunit ribosomal RNA", at positions 338 to 795 of the family's 1533-position model. The record is from RNAcentral.